RNAcentral lists this microRNA precursor (206 nucleotides) under Oryza glumipatula. Its description in RNAcentral is "MIR812 microRNA precursor family". It matches the Rfam family "MIR812 microRNA precursor family". Lineage: Eukaryota; Viridiplantae; Streptophyta; Magnoliopsida; Poales; Poaceae. The record is from Rfam by way of RNAcentral.
AAAAAGACAAACCUUGGGUUUCCGUGUCCAACGUUUGACCGUUCGUCUUAUUUAAAAAAAUUAUGAAAAAAAUAAAAAAAUACAAGUCACACAAAGUAUUAAUCAUGUUUUAUCAUCUAACAACAAUGAAAAUACUAAUUAUAAAAAAAUUUCAUAUAAGACGGAGAGUCAAACGUUGGACACGGAAACCCAGGGUUUGUCUUUUU